AUGGUUCUUUUCCUUAUUGUUUCUUUUGUUUAUUUGCUUGCUUUUACAAGAAACCACAAAACAUUUCUUUCUCCCUUUUUUCUUUUGAAGUUCUUUGAGAAAACAACAAAAAUAUUUCUUCGUUCUUUUUGGUUUUUCUUUGCAAGUUUAUCUGUUACCUCUUUGUUGAAACUUUGGAAAUCUUGUAUCUUUGCGUGUCUCUUUGCAUUAUUGUUUGCCUUCUUUGAGAAAACCCAAAAAAUCCAAAAAUACUUUAGUGGUGUUUCUCUUAGUUCUUUGCCUUUUAUAUUUCAAAAAAUCCAAAAAAAAAUCUCUUUCAUUUUUCUUUUGUUUUUCGUCGUUUGCUUUUGA
RNAcentral lists this ribosomal RNA (351 nucleotides) under Triticum aestivum (bread wheat). Its description in RNAcentral is "partial small subunit ribosomal RNA". Lineage: Eukaryota; Viridiplantae; Streptophyta; Magnoliopsida; Poales; Poaceae. The record is from RNAcentral.